This 497-nucleotide ribosomal RNA is filed under the name uncultured bacterium. RNAcentral's name for it is "bacterial SSU rRNA". It matches the Rfam family "Bacterial small subunit ribosomal RNA", at positions 29 to 518 of the family's 1533-position model. The record is from RNAcentral.
AUGAACGCUAGCGACAGGCCUAACACAUGCAAGUCGAGGGGCAGCACAAGGAGCAAUCUGAGGUGGCGACCGGACGCACGGGUGAGUAACACGUAUGCAACCUGCCUGUAAGCGGGGAAUAACCCGUUGAAAGACGGACUAAUACCGCAUAAUACUAAAUUACUGCAUGGUAAUUUAUUUAAACAUUUAUGGCUUACAGAUGGGCAUGCGCAUGAUUAGCUAGUUGGAGAGGUAACGGCUCCCCAAGGCAACGAUCAUUAGGGGUUCUGAGAGGAAGGUCCCCCACACUGGUACUGAGACACGGACCAGACUCCUACGGGAGGCAGCAGUGAGGAAUAUUGGUCAAUGGACGAGAGUCUGAACCAGCCAAGUCGCGUGCAGGAAGAAUGUUCCCUAUGGAUUGUAAACUGCUUUUGCAGGGGAAUAAAGUGCAUCACGUGUGAUGUUUUGUAUGUACUCUGCGAAUAAGGAUCGGCUAACUCCGUGCCAGCCGCCGC